AGGGAAAAAGCCCAGACUUCCAUCUAAGGUCUCUAAAUAAAAGCUAAGUUUUGAAGGAAGUCAAAAUUCAUAGACAACCAGGAUGUUGGCUUUCAAUUUUCAUUGAAUUUUCAUUUGUCCAAUUUUUAAAAUUAAAAACAUUUGAGAUUUGAUUAGAAAUUAGAAAUUAGAAAUUAGAAAUUCUCGCGUAGCGCGCGAGCAUGGUAGGGGAGCGUCCUGUUCUGCAGUGAAGGUGUGGCUGUGAGGCCUACUGGAGCGGAUAGGAGUGAGAAUGCCGGUAUGAGUAGCGAGAGCACAGUGAGAAACUGUGCCGCCGAAAGCCCAAGGUUUCCUCCCCGACACAGGUGGGCAAGUGUAAGUGCACUUAGGCGAUCGGGAGAAAAAUGAUUAAGGAACUCGGCAAAAAAGCUGGGCGUAACCUUUGGGAGAUGCCCUGCCUCGAUUAAUCUCGAGGCUACAACAAAAGACUACUUAGCGACUGUUUAUCUAAAACACAGGUCCCUGCAAAAGCGAAAGCUGACGUAUAGGGGCUGACACCUGCCCAGUGCUGGUAAGUCAAAAGUAGAGAGUGAUGUUCCAAAAGAAUUAAGCUUUUUACUUAAGCUCCAGUAAACGGCAGCAGUAACUAUAACUGUUCUAUGGUAGCGAAGUUCCUUGUCGGGCGAGUUCCGACCCGCACGAAUGGUAGAACGACUGAGUAACUGUCUUAAUCAUUUACCCGGCGAAAUUGAGUUGGCUGUGAAGACGCGGCCUAGUUGUCCUUGGACAAGAAGACCCCGGGAGCUUUACUGUAUCUUGGCAUUUGAAAGUUUAUUUUGACUGUUUAGAAUAGGAGGGAGGGAGGUGCCGUCUGGUACCUCCCAAUAGUGAAAUACCUCUCUUCGGAAUAUGCAAUCAUUACCUUAUCGCCGCACAAAAAUCCGGCUAAGGGACAGUGUCUGGUGGGCAGUUUAACUGGGGAGGUUGACUCCUAAAUCGUAACGGAGUUGUACAAAGGUUGGCUAAUUACGGAUGGAAAUCGUAAUGAUAGUGCAAAGGCAUAAGCCAGCUUAACUGCGAGACCUACAAGUCGAGCAGAGACGAAAGUCGGUCUUAGUGAUCCUCCGUAGCCUAGUGGUAGGCUCGGAGCUUAACGGAUAAAAGCUACCCCGGGGAUAACAGGCUGAUCGCAUCCAAGCGUCCACAGCGACGAUGCGGUUUGGCACCUUAAAUAACAUUGGGGCGCCUAUAGAAGUAAUUCUAUAAGUCUGGUUAUUCUACAACGCGUUUAGAGAACGCGUAGAAAUAAUAAAAUCAACUAGUUAAUAUCGGUGGACUCCUUCGACUCGAACAGUCGCUCAGGACAAUACCGAGGGAAGGAGGUACCGUAUGGCACCUCCCCCGUAUCGACUUGUGUUUGGUUUCAAACGAACACGGAUGGAAGUCUCUGUCCGAAGUAACAUCGGACAAAUCUAUAGCUUCCAUAAUUAGACUAGCUCCUUUAAGUAAAGGAAACUCGAAGCACGAAUAUCGAAGCUCGAAACUUUUUCGAAUUUCGGUCUGGCUGUUCGCCAGUUAAAGCGGUACGCGAGCUGGGUUCAGAGCGUCGUAAGACAGCUCGGUCUCUAUCCAGGACAACCGUUGAUAUUUGAGGAGAGCCGUCCCUAGUACGAGAGGACUGGGAUGGAGGAAUCCUUUUCAAUUUACAUUGAAUUUUCAUUGUUUCAAUUUUUCAGAAUUUGACCAUUUGGAUUUGAUUAGAAAUUAGAAAUUAAGAAUUAGAAAUUCUCGCGCUGUGCGCGAGUGAGAUCCCUUCAAGACCAGGAGGUUGAUAGGCGGGCGGUGUAAGCAUAGUAAUAUGUUGAGCCUACCCGUACUAAUGAUCGAUAAG
RNAcentral lists this ribosomal RNA (1870 nucleotides) under Candidatus Levybacteria bacterium GW2011_GWA2_41_15. RNAcentral's name for it is "partial 23S ribosomal RNA". It matches the Rfam family "Bacterial large subunit ribosomal RNA", at positions 1016 to 2913 of the family's 2925-position model. Lineage: Bacteria; Candidatus Levyibacteriota. The record is from RNAcentral.